RNAcentral lists this ribosomal RNA (380 nucleotides) under uncultured eukaryote. Its description in RNAcentral is "partial 18S ribosomal RNA". It matches the Rfam family "Eukaryotic small subunit ribosomal RNA", at positions 592 to 976 of the family's 1831-position model. The record is from RNAcentral.
CAAUAGCGUAUAUUAAAGUUGUUGCGGUUAAAAAGCUCGUAGUUGGAUUUCUGCCGAGAACGACCGGUCCGCCCUUUGGGUGUGUAUCUGGCUCUUUCUUGGCAUCUUCUUGGUGAACGUUGCUGCACUUGACUGUGUGGAGCGCUACCCAGGACUUUUACUUUGAGGAAAUUAGAGUGUUUCAAGCAGGCAUACGCCUUGAUUACAUUAGCAUGGAAUAAUAAGAUAGGACCUCGGUUCUAUUUUGUUGGUUUCUAGAGCUGAGGUAAUGAUUAAUAGGGAUAGUUGGGGGCAUUCGUAUUUAACUGUCAGAGGUGAAAUUCUUGGAUUUGUUAAAGACGGACUACUGCGAAANCANNNGCCAAGGAUGUUUUCAUNGA